UACGUAGGCAGCAAGCGUUGUUCGGAAUUACUGGGCGUAAAGAGUGUGUAGGCGGUGCUCCAAGUCUGGUGUGAAAUCUCCCGGCUUAACUGGGAGGGUGCAUUAGAAACUGGAAUGCUAGAGGAUGGGAGAGGUAAGCGGAAUUCCUGGUGUAGCGGUGAAAUGCGUAGAUAUCAGGAGGAACACCAGUGGCGAAGGCGGCUCACUGGACUGGUAUUGACGCUGGAGGUGCGAAAAGCGUGGGGAGCAAACAGG
RNAcentral lists this ribosomal RNA (255 nucleotides) under uncultured bacterium. RNAcentral describes it as "partial 16S ribosomal RNA". It matches the Rfam family "Bacterial small subunit ribosomal RNA", at positions 524 to 776 of the family's 1533-position model. The record is from RNAcentral.